Molecule: ribosomal RNA, 468 nt
Filed under: uncultured bacterium
Lineage: Bacteria
Description: partial 16S ribosomal RNA
Rfam family: Bacterial small subunit ribosomal RNA
Source: RNAcentral
GACGAACGCUGGCGGCGUGCUUAACACAUGCAAGUCGAACGGAAAGGCCCUGCUUUUGUGGGGUGCUCGAGUGGCGAACGGGUGAGUAACACGUGAGUAACCUGCCCUUGACUUUGGGAUAACUUCAGGAAACUGGGGCUAAUACCGGCUAGGAGCUCCUGCUGCAUGGUGGGGGUUGGAAAGUUUCGGCGGUUGGGGAUGGACUCGCGGCUUAUCAGCUUGUUGGUGGGGUAGUGGCUUACCAAGGCUUUGACGGGUAGCCGGCCUGAGAGGGUGACCGGCCACAUGGGGACUGAGAUACGGCCCAGACUCCUACGGGAGGCAGCAGUGGGGAAUAUUGCACAAUGGGCGGAAGCCUGAUGCAGCAACGCCGCGUGCGGGAUGACGGCCUUCGGGUUGUAAACCGCUUUCGCCUGUGACGAAGCGUGAGUGACGGUAAUGGGUAAAGAAGCACCGGCUAACUACGUG